GCCCGCCAGAGUCCAACCAAACUCUUGUAUUAAACCAGUCGUCUGAGUAUAAAAUUUUAAUUAAAUUAAAACUUUCAACAACGGAUCUCUUGGUUCUCGCAUCGAUGAAGAACGCAGCGAAAUGCGAUAAGUAAUGUGAAUUGCAGAAUUCAGUGAAUCAUCGAAUCUUUGAACGCACAUUGCGCCCCUUGGUAUUCCGAGGGGCAUGCCUGUUCGAGCGUCAUUACACCACUCAAGCAUCGCUUGGUAUUGGGAACGGUCCGUCGAAAGGCGGGCCUUCCUCGAAGACCUCGGCGGGGUUCAACCAACUUCGGGCGUAGUAGAGUUAAAUCGAACGUCUUAUAAGCUUGGUCGGAUCUCAUUGCCGUUAAACCUUUAAAUUUUCUAGGUUGACCUCGGAUCAGGUAGGGAUACCCGCUGAACUUAAGCAUAUCAAUAAGCGGAGGAAAAGAAACCAACAGGGAUUGCCCUAGUAACGGCGAGUGAAGCGGCAAUAGCUCAAAUUUGAAAGCUGGCCUUUGGUCCGCAUUGUAAUUUGUAGAGGAUGCUUUUAGGCAGCCGCCGGUCUAAGUUCCUUGGAACAGGACGUCAUAGAGGGUGAGAAUCCCGUAUGUGACCGGCUCAGGCACCUUCUGUAAAGCUCCUUCGACGAGUCGAGUUGUUUGGGAAUGCAGCUCUAAAUGGGAGGUAAAUUUCUUCUAAAGCUAAAUACUGGCGAGAGACCGAUAGCGCACAAGUAGAGUGAUCGAAAGAUGAAAAGUACUUUGGAAAGAGAGUUAAAAAGCACGUGAAAUUGUUGAAAGGGAAGCGCUUGCAAUCAGACUUGGCCUCGGUUGUUCAACCGGUCUUUUGACCGGCCUAUUCAAUCGGGGGCAGGCCAGCAUCAGUU
This 889-nucleotide ribosomal RNA is filed under the name fungal endophyte. Its description in RNAcentral is "eukaryotic LSU rRNA". The stretch from base 391 to 889 matches the Rfam family "Eukaryotic large subunit ribosomal RNA", at positions 1 to 507 of the family's 3401-position model. The record is from RNAcentral. Lineage: Eukaryota; Fungi.